This is an RNA transcript of Pan troglodytes (chimpanzee), 3277 nucleotides long. It is a transcript of the gene named intercellular adhesion molecule 1, with no coding region annotated. The record is from RefSeq and is a predicted model, not a curated record. The transcript has 8 exons. Lineage: Eukaryota; Metazoa; Chordata; Mammalia; Primates; Hominidae.
AGAUCAGGAAAAUCCGCUCUCCGGCCGCACCCUCGCGCGCCCCCGCCUGGCGGUGUAGAACAAACGGUCUGAGCGCUUGGCGGGCGCCUGAGAGCGGAGCGGGCGAGGCCGAGGAGCGGAGGCUGAAGCCGUGAGGAGCGGCCCGGCGAGGGCGAGGGGCGUGCGAGUGGGCGGCCGCGGCUCGCCUUUGGCCCUUCUCAUCAGGAUGAAAACGCUUCUGUUUGGUGUCUGGGCCCUGCUGGCCUUGAUCCUUUGCCCAGGGGUCCCGGAAGAGUUGUUUGAGGUUUCUAUUUGGCCAAGUCAGGCCCUGGUGGAGUUUGGACAGUCCCUAGUGGUCAACUGCAGCACUACUUGCCCAGACCCAGGACCCAGUGGAAUUGAGACCUUCUUAAAGAAAACUCAGGUGGGCAAAGGGCCUCAGUGGAAAGAGUUUCUUCUGGAGGAUGUCACAGAGAAUUCCAUCCUGCAGUGCUUCUUCUCUUGUGCAGGGAUUCAAAAGGACACAAGCCUUGGCAUCACUGUGUAUCAGCCACCAGAGCAAGUGAUCCUGGAGCUGCAGCCUGCCUGGGUGGCCGUGGACGAAGCCUUCACAGUGAAGUGUCAUGUACCCAGUGUAGCACCCUUGGAGAGUCUCACCCUUGCCCUUCUCCAGGGUAACCAAGAACUGCAUAGAAAGAACUUUACGAGGUUGGUUGUGGCCUCCCAAAGAGCUGAGGUCAUCAUCAGUGUCAGAGCCCAAAAGGAGAAUGACAGAUGCAAUUCUUCCUGCCAUGCAGAACUGGACUUGAGUUUGCAAGGUGGGAGGCUCUUUCAAGGCAGCUCACCCAUCAGAAUAGUCCGGAUCUUUGAAUUCUCUCAGAGUCCCCACAUCUGGGUCUCUUCCCUUUUGGAGGCUGGGAUGGCGGAGACUGUGAGCUGCGAGGUGGCUAGGUUGUUUCCAGCCAAAGAAGUUAUGUUCCACAUGUUCCUGGAAGACCAAGAGCUGAGCUCCUUCCUUUCCUGGGAGGGGGACACAGCAUGGGCCAAUGCUACCAUUCGGACCAUGGAGGCUGGUGAUCAGGAACUGUCUUGCUUUGCAUCUCUGGGUCCAAUGGAACAGAAGACAAGAAAGCUAGUGCAUAGCUACAGCUUCCCUCCACCAAUCCUGGAGCUAAAAGAAUCAUACCCAUUGGCAGGGACCGACAUUAAUGUGACCUGCUCAGGGCAUGUAUUAACAUCACCCAGCCCUACUCUUCGGCUUCAGGGAGCCCCAGACCUCCCUGCCCCUGGGGAGCCUGCCUGGCUUCUACUUACUGCCAGGGAGGAAGAUGAUGGCUGAAAUUUCUCCUGCGAGGCCUCUUUGGUGGUGCAGGGUCAGCGGUUGAUGAAAACCACUGUGAUCCAGCUCCAUAUCCUAUACAAGCUACGGUUAGAGGAAUCCAGUUGCCCUGGCAAACAGACCUGGCUGGAAGGGAUGGAACACACGCUCGCCUGCGUCCCAAAGGGAAACCCAGCUCCAGCCUUGGUGUGUACCUGGAAUGGGGUGGUCUUUGACCUUGAAGUGCCACAGAAGGCAACCCAGAACCACACUGGAACCUACUGCUGCACAGCCACUAACCAGCUGGGCUCUGUCAGCAAAGACAUUGCUGUCAUUGUUCAAGGACUGGAUGAAGGAAUCAGCUCUACCCUCUUUGUCAUUAUUACUGUUACGUCUGGAGUGGGUGUCAUCACCAUAGCACUGUAUUUGAGCUAUCGGCCCUGCAAAGUGGACAGGAGGAAAUUGCUCUAUAGGCAGAAAGAGGAGGACAAAGAGGAGGAAAGCCAGUUUGCUGUUCAGGAAGAGAAAAGUACAACUCAUAUAAUUGACAGCUAUUUGAUUGAAUGAGAGUUGUGCUACUGUGGUUUCCCAGGGAGGGAAGAAGGGAUAGAGGAGAAAGGAAGAAACACAAUGGCAGGCUGCAUUCCCCUUUGUGUACGUCUGUCCUGUAAAACGGUGUUUCAGGCCCCCAUGCCCCAUGUCCUGUGUGUCCAAUAUGUCCACAAGCUCACCUUUCUCUCUCUCUCUCUUUUUUUUUUUUUUUUUUGAGAUGGAGUCUCGCUGUUGUCGCCUAGGCUGGAGUGCAAUGAUGCGAUCUCGGCUCACUGCAACUUCAGCUUCCUGGGGUUCAGGUGAUUCUCCUGCCUCAGCCUCCCCAGCAGCUGGGAUUACAGGUGCAUACCACCAUGCCUGUCUAAUUUUUGUAUUUUUCGUAGAGAUGGAGUUUCACCAUGUUGACCAGGCUGGUCUCAAACUCCUGACCUCAAGUGAUCCGCCCACCUUGGCCUCCCAAAAUGCUGGGAUUACAGGUGUGAGCCUCUGCACCCAGCCACCUUUCUCUUUAGAGCUCACUCUAGUCAUUAAGAAUCUCAGUCUCAAUGUUUGAUUUGUAAGAAGGCCUCUUGCUCCUUGCCAGGUGCUUCAUCAGUCCACUCUUAGAUACAAAAAAAAGAUCCUGCUGUUUCUUUAUGGUUCCCACUGCCCUUUUCUCUUAAACAUCAUACUAAAGUCAGGCACAUCUUAGAAAUGCAACUCAUAUUUCAUGGUUUUCUGAUGACUAACCUGGAACUAAAUUUGUAGUCCAGGGACAGGACUUUGAAGGGAGUAAGUAUCAAAUAUGGGGCUAGGAAUCAGAGCUCUGUUCCCAUCUCCACUUUCCCUUGCUCCCCUGACCUGGGCUUCUGGAGGGCCAGCUCCCAGAGCUGAGCUUGUUGACAUCAUUAAGGAUCAGUGGCAAGCUUCAACUCAGUAACCAACUGUUGUGCGUCUUGGGGGAGUAUACAGAUGGUAAGAAAUUCCACUUUGGGCCAGACAAGCAUCCUAUCUAGCCCAGUGUUCUGUCUCUGAAGUAGAAGGUAGAGUUCUUCCAUGAAAUUGGCCUCAUAGGUUAAGAGCUCCAAACAUCUCUGAAUUCCUUUUCAUAGAGUGAUCAACUGUGAGUUCGCAUUUGUCAGUUUUUUUUUUUUACCCAUGUGGGUGUCUAGGUUAGAGUUGCAAUGUUUACUCUCCCUUUUCAUCAAUAAGGACAUAUUUUCUUCUGUCUGUAAGCAAUUUCCUUGAAGCUUCAAGAAGAAUCCUCUUGUGAAAAUGUUCAUAUGAUUUUAUGAUUCUGCUUCCUUCCCUGUCCUUGGGAAAGAGUAUAUUCACCCUCAGAGAAGGCGUGAGGAAUCACAAAACCAGAUCUUUUCUCCCAAAUCAGUCAAGAAAUGUUCACUGGAAUGUUGCUAUGGUAAAAAUAAAAGUGGUUUUAUGAUGUCCAAA